UUGACCUCGGAUCAGGUAGGGAUACCCGCUGAACUUAAGCAUAUCAAUAAGCGGAGGAAAAGAAACCAACCGGGAUUGCCUCAGUAACGGCGAGUGAAGCGGCAAGAGCUCAAAUUUGAAAGCUGGCCCCUUCGGGGUCCGCGUUGUAAUUUGCAGAGGAUGCUUCGGGUGCGGCCCCUGUCUAAGUGCCCUGGAACGGGCCGUCAGAGAGGGUGAGAAUCCCGUCUUGGGCAGGGUGCCCGUGCCCGUGUGAAGCUCCUUCGACGAGUCGAGUUGUUUGGGAAUGCAGCUCUAAAUGGGUGGUAAAUUUCAUCUAAAGCUAAAUACCGGCCGGAGACCGAUAGCGCACAAGUAGAGUGAUCGAAAGAUGAAAAGCACUUUGAAAAGAGAGUUAAACAGCACGUGAAAUUGUUGAAAGGGAAGCGCUUGCGACCAGACUCGGCCCCGGGGUUCAGCCAGCAUUCGUGCUGGUGUACUUCCCCGGGGGCGGGCCAGCGUCGGUUUGGGCGGCCGGUCAAAGGCCCCAGGAAUGUAUCGCCCUCCGGGGUUGUCUUAUAGCCUGGGGUGCAAUGCGGCCAGCCCGGACCGAGGAACGCGCUUCGGCACGGACGCUGGCGUAAUGGUCGCAAACGACC
This 635-nucleotide ribosomal RNA is filed under the name Aspergillus spinulosporus. RNAcentral's name for it is "eukaryotic LSU rRNA". It matches the Rfam family "Eukaryotic large subunit ribosomal RNA", at positions 1 to 649 of the family's 3401-position model. The record is from RNAcentral. Lineage: Eukaryota; Fungi; Ascomycota; Eurotiomycetes; Eurotiales; Aspergillaceae.